UGAUAUCAGGCAACUCGGUCC
This 21-nucleotide microRNA is filed under the name Medicago truncatula (barrel medic). Its description in RNAcentral is "mtr-miR5563-5p". Lineage: Eukaryota; Viridiplantae; Streptophyta; Magnoliopsida; Fabales; Fabaceae. The record is from miRBase by way of RNAcentral.